Molecule: ribosomal RNA, 421 nt
Filed under: uncultured bacterium
Lineage: Bacteria
Description: bacterial SSU rRNA
Rfam family: Bacterial small subunit ribosomal RNA
Source: RNAcentral
GCAUAACGCGAAGAACCUUACCUACUCUUGACAUCCAGAGAACUUAGCAGAGAUGCUUUGGUGCCUUCGGGAACUCUGAGACAGGUGCUGCAUGGCUGUCGUCAGCUCGUGUUGUGAAAUGUUGGGUUAAGUCCCGCAACGAGCGCAACCCUUAUCCUUUGUUGCCAGCGGUUCGGCCGGGAACUCAAAGGAGACUGCCAGUGAUAAACUGGAGGAAGGUGGGGAUGACGUCAAGUCAUCAUGGCCCUUACGAGUAGGGCUACACACGUGCUACAAUGGCGCAUACGAAGAGAAGCGACCUCGCGAGAGCAAGCGGACCUCAUAAAGUGCGUCGUAGUCCGGAUUGGAGUCUGCAACUCGACUCCAUGAAGUCGGAAUCGCUAGUAAUCGUGGAUCAGAAUGCCACGGUGAAUACGUUCCC